AGUUGCAUUUUGUGGGAAAGUUCAAGUUUUUAUAUGAAUCAAAAUCUAUGAGAAAUCAAUGGUACUUAUGGGCAGUGUUCUAAAACUCGAUCUAGGGGCCGUCUAGGUGCUAGGCAGUGGGUAGCCACUAGGAUUUAACCAAAAUCGGAAGAAAAAUAAGGAAAGAAAUUAGGCAGACGUUGGACAGCCUAGACGGGUGUCUGAGAGGCCUAGGUGGCCUAGGCAGGCGACUGGGCGGUACCUGAAACUCUCCGACACAUUCGCGACUCAUUCUCUCUCAGCUGCAACAUCAUCGGCGUGUAUUGUCAUAAGUUAGAUAGUUCAAUAUGGCCCAAUGAACGUUUUAGAAUGGUAUGCAAUUGGUUUGAUGACUCCUUAAUCUUAUUAGAUUCUGUCAGAGAAAGGCGAUACAAACCUAAGUUUUGUAGAGGUGAAUCUCCUAUCAAUUGGAUUUCGUGCUCUACAACCUUCCUUGGUGGUAAUCCUUGCACAUCUUAAAAAAAAGUUUUUGAACUCCUUUUGCAAUUUUUCAAUGUUGGAACAUUGUGUAAAGGAGCCACGAUAGACAAAGUCACAGCUUUAUAAAUCUGAUCUUGUGUUUGAAUCAUUAGUAAAACAAAUCUUUCACAUGAAUUAACCAACCUCUUGGCUUGGUUAACUAUCAAGAAGUUUUAUGUACUUUGAGGCUUACAAGCAUUGAUAUGGAACUUUUUCUCGUCCUUUACAAGAUGAUACUUGUGAAGCCCCAUGCAGUGAAUUGCAUCAUGGUCCCACAAAUACAGAUUGUUAGAAUGACUUGGCACACGUCUAAUGGAACCAUCUCGCAUGUCACCUCAUCAAUGAAACGAUUGGUGAUUGCAAAUUUGAAGAUACAUUGCUUCAUGAUCUACAAGUCAACAUCCUUCUAAAUCCAUCCUAACAAGUAUGGUUUAGGAUAUGGUGUGGUGUAUAAGCCCACCUUCUGAACUAGAGCCUCUAAAAUCAAGUUCUUCUGACUUCCAGGGUCAAUGAUAGCUUGCACAACAUUUUGUUUCACCUAAAUAUUCACAUGAAACAACUCUUCACCGUUAUGAGAAUCUACAACAUCUGUUGGUUUGGUCAUAAGGGCAAGAGUAGCAUCAGGCUGCCUCACUUCUAGAAGCUCUUCUGAUUGUUGUGUAGUCAAGGAUUGUUGUCGUCAUCGUCUGUCUGUGACAACAACUUACUUUAUAUUGCGAGGGAGAUUCUGAAGAAGAAGAAGAUAGAGGUUGAUGUUCCUUAUGUCACAGCAACUGCACCAUUUUGUCACAGCAACUGCACCAUUUUGGUUUUUUCAUAGAACAUGAAGAGCUCCUGCUAGGCUUUGGUUUCCAUAAAUAUUACAACAUGCUCUUCAUUACCAAACCUUAAUGGAAACAUGAACGAAGAUGCAAUUCCAAUAAAAAUGAGAAUUACGUAUUCAAUUGUAAACUACUAAUAUAGCUUUGAUUAAUUAAAGCAAAAAUAAUUGAAAGAACAAAACCAUUUUGGAAGUC
Molecule: long non-coding RNA, 1514 nt
Organism: Malus domestica (apple)
Lineage: Eukaryota; Viridiplantae; Streptophyta; Magnoliopsida; Rosales; Rosaceae
Source: RefSeq, a predicted model, not a curated record